RNAcentral lists this transfer RNA (72 nucleotides) under Bos taurus (domestic cattle). It matches the Rfam family "tRNA". From Rfam's summary of the family: Transfer RNA (tRNA) molecules are approximately 80 nucleotides in length. The record is from Rfam by way of RNAcentral. Lineage: Eukaryota; Metazoa; Chordata; Mammalia; Artiodactyla; Bovidae. RNAcentral also lists the same sequence under 3 other names.
UCCCUGGUGGCUCAGUCAAUAAAGAACCCACCUGCAAUGUGGGAGACCUGGGUUCAAUUCCUGGGUUGGGAA